UACGGAGGGUGCGAGCGUUAUCCGGAAUUACUGGGUUUAAAGGGUGCGUAGGCGGCUUUGUAAGUCAGGAGUGAAAGUUUGCGGCUCAACCGUAAAAUUGCUUUUGAUACUGCAUAGCUAGAAUUAGGAUGAGGUCAGCGGAAUGUGGCAUGUAGCGGUGAAAUGCAUAGAUAUGCCAUAGAACACCAAUUGCGAAGGCAGCUGGCUAGACCUGGAUUGACGCUGAGGCACGAAAGCGUGGGGAGCGAACAGG
RNAcentral lists this ribosomal RNA (253 nucleotides) under uncultured bacterium. Its description in RNAcentral is "partial 16S ribosomal RNA". It matches the Rfam family "Bacterial small subunit ribosomal RNA", at positions 524 to 776 of the family's 1533-position model. The record is from RNAcentral.